GCUCACCUACCCUCGCCGGCUCUAAUAUCUUGAAGUCCCUUGCUGUGCUUCUCUUUGCAUACCUCAGUAGGUUCACUUUGGUCACCUUACUGAGUCGGAUUAAGUACUUCUCGUAAUCUUCUAUCUGGAAGAUUAAGUCCGGCAGGCAGGAUGGUGCACCGGGCGACAAUACAUAUCAAGCAUGGUUUAAAAUAAUCUGUGAUGGAUGAAGGUGAGCAUAGUCCAUUCUCAGUCUCGAGCACAAUACCUUUUGCAUAUCAGCCAUGAAGCUAUAGAGAGGAACAGUGAGCUGCUUGCAGGUCAACUCAACGAGCUUCUCGAAUUUAAGGCCUGGGAGAAGCUGCUUGCAACCUCUUGGAGCAAUCUUGAGCUUUGACAUCUGAGCUAAUUGUUUGUAGAACCUCGCAAGUAGUCUAAGCAAGUGGUCCGCUUGAGUAUCUGCAAACGUCAGUAGGAAACAUAAGCGGUAUGUCUGUGAUACUUGGACAAAGUACAGAAGAUGCAUAUUUUUCAAGUUAUCAGUCCCCGAAGAAAUGAGAUCUUAUAUCACCCUUUAAGUUCAUCACAAUAAAUGAUGAUAA
Non-coding RNA from Punica granatum (pomegranate), 581 nucleotides. Lineage: Eukaryota; Viridiplantae; Streptophyta; Magnoliopsida; Myrtales; Lythraceae. The record is from RefSeq and is a predicted model, not a curated record.